Molecule: long non-coding RNA, 923 nt
Filed under: Gossypium barbadense (sea-island cotton)
Lineage: Eukaryota; Viridiplantae; Streptophyta; Magnoliopsida; Malvales; Malvaceae
Description: long non-coding RNA (GBAR_LNC019333)
Source: RNAcentral
UCAAUACUACGAAUGCAUGGCAUUACAAAUAUUUUUUUAUUUUAUUUUUCAGAGACAAUUAUGACCAUUAUGUAUUCAUGUGUGAUUUGAUGAUAGAAAGAUCUCAAGUGAAAUCCAUUACAACUUUUGGCUAAAACUAACUAGGGACCUCUUUAUAAUUAGUCCAAGAUGCUUAUUCCUUUCUGUUCUCUGUUCAGCACCCUGCUUUUGCUUUUGUUUUUUGUUUUUCAUCCCUUUUCACACAAUGGAAACACCUACGGAGGGUGGACACUAUGUGCAACAUCAUCAAACUAUGUAGAAAAAAAGUUACACAACAAACGGAAAGCAAAUAAUGUUGUAAAAUAAAAAAAUAAAAACACUAACCUGUAAGUAGUGGAGCAACCGUAGCAGGAGUAAACACUAACCUGUAAAGAGUUGGCUCAAUACUUGCUUUUAUUAACUCUGAUGCUGGCUAUGCCAUCGUAUAGAUGAAAGAUAUAAAAUAAUUUGCAUCUGAGAUUUGUUUUAACAGAAAAUAAUAAUUUACCUCGUUUAGUUAAUCUGAAGGAUGAGACAUAAAUAUAACUCACUUCUGGCGCUGAGAAAAGACCGCCCAAGGUGGAACAAUUUUUCUUAUAUCCUGCACUCUCAUCCUUGCCUACAUAAUGUAAGGUCAUGAAUACAUGAGAGAAGUCUUCUUCACUUGCUUGCCUGAUUUUCUACAACCAAAACUUUCCAUUUAUCCUUCAUACCAGCAGAGCUCAAAUGCACAUUCUCCUUUUUCUUUCUUUUUUCUUUUUCUUUUGUUUGAGUUUGAAAGCUUCUUUUCCAACUCAACUUCUACCUUUUAGCUACCUUUUGAAAAAAAGAAGAAGCAGGAUGCUGAACAGAGGGAAGAGAGAAGAGGAAGAGGAAGAGGAAAAAAUGAUCUGAUUAUAGAGAGA